AUUGAACGCUGGCGGCAUGCCUUACACAUGCAAGUCGAACGGCAGCGGGCCUUCGGGUGCCGACGAGUGGCGAACGGGUGAGUAAUGCAUCGGAACGUACCUUUCAGUGGGGGAUAACGUAGCGAAAGUUACGCUAAUACCGCAUAUUCUGUGAGGCAGGAAAGCAGGGGAUCGCAAGACCUUGCGCUGAUUGAGCGGCCGAUGUCAGAUUAGCUAGUUGGUGAGGUAAAGGCUCACCAAGGCGACGAUCUGUAGCGGGUCUGAGAGGAUGAUCCGCCACACUGGAACUGAGACACGGUCCAGACUCCUACGGGAGGCAGCAGUGGGGGAAUUUUUGGACAAUGGGGGCAACCCUGAUCCAGCCAUGCCGCGUGAGUGAAGAAGGCC
This 387-nucleotide ribosomal RNA is filed under the name uncultured bacterium. RNAcentral's name for it is "bacterial SSU rRNA". It matches the Rfam family "Bacterial small subunit ribosomal RNA", at positions 30 to 416 of the family's 1533-position model. The record is from RNAcentral.